Molecule: ribosomal RNA, 524 nt
Filed under: uncultured bacterium
Lineage: Bacteria
Description: bacterial SSU rRNA
Rfam family: Bacterial small subunit ribosomal RNA
Source: RNAcentral
UGGGGAAUAUUGGACAAUGGACCAAGAGUCUGAUCCAGCAAUUCUGUGUGCACGAUGAAGUUUUUCGGAAUGUAAAGUGCUUUCAGUUGGGAAGAAAGAAAUGACGGUACCAACAGAAGAAGUGACGGCUAAAUACGUGCCAGCAGCCGCGGUAAUACGUAUGUCACGAGCGUUAUCCGGAUUUAUUGGGCGUAAAGCGCGUCUAGGUGGUUAUGUAAGUCUGAUGUGAAAAUGCAGGGCUCAACUCUGUAUUGCGUUGGAAACUGUAUAACUAGAGUACUGGAGAGGUAAGCGGAACUACAAGUGUAGAGGUGAAAUUCGUAGAUAUUUGUAGGAAUGCCGAUGGGGAAGCCAGCUUACUGGACAGAUACUGACGCUGAAGCGCGAAAGCGUGGGUAGCAAACAGGAUUAGAUACCCUGGUAGUCCACGCCGUAAACGAUGAUUACUAGGUGUUGGGGGUCGAACCUCAGCACCCAAGCAAACGCGAUAAGUAAUCCGCCUGGGGAGUACGUACGCAAGUAUG